Entomophthora muscae is the source of this 71-nucleotide non-coding RNA. NCBI's taxonomy places the organism in Eukaryota, Fungi, Entomophthoromycota, Entomophthoromycetes, Entomophthorales, Entomophthoraceae. The record is from the annotation of a GenBank genome assembly.
AGGUUAAUAGUUCAAUGGUAAAAUAAUGAUCUUCAAAAUCAAAGUUUUAGGUUCGAGUCCUAAUUAACCUG